GAUGAACGCUGGCGGCGUGCCUAACACAUGCAAGUCGAGCGAGAAGUAAAGAAAUGAAGCUUCGGUAGAUUUUCAUUAUGGAAAGCGGCGGACGGGUGAGUAACGCGUAGGCAACCUGCCCUGUACAGGGGGAUAGCCACCCGAAAAGGUGAUUAAUACCCCAUGAUGCAAGAGAUACACAUGUAUCACUUGUCAAAGAUUUAUCGGUAUGGGAUGGGCCUGCGUCUGAUUAGCUAGUUGGUAGGGUAACGGCUUACCAAGGCAACGAUCAGUAGCCGACCUGAGAGGGUGAUCGGCCACAUUGGAACUGAGACACGGUCCAAACUCCUACGGGAGGCAGCAGUGGGGAAUAUUGCACAAUGGGCGAAAGCCUGAUGCAGCAACGCCGCGUGAAGGAAAAAGGCCUUCGGGUUGUAAACUUCUGUCCUAGGGGAAGAAACAAAUGACAUACCCUGAGGAGCCACG
RNAcentral lists this ribosomal RNA (465 nucleotides) under [Eubacterium] infirmum. RNAcentral's name for it is "bacterial SSU rRNA". It matches the Rfam family "Bacterial small subunit ribosomal RNA", at positions 28 to 495 of the family's 1533-position model. Lineage: Bacteria; Bacillati; Bacillota; Clostridia; Peptostreptococcales; Anaerovoracaceae. The record is from RNAcentral.